This 306-nucleotide ribosomal RNA is filed under the name Triticum aestivum (bread wheat). Its description in RNAcentral is "partial small subunit ribosomal RNA". The record is from RNAcentral. Lineage: Eukaryota; Viridiplantae; Streptophyta; Magnoliopsida; Poales; Poaceae.
CCCAUUGUGGAUUGGAGAUUUGAAAAGGAUAUUAAAAGAAAACAAUUGCUUAAUUAUAGUAUUGAUUUCGGAGUUUGUAUAUUUUGUGGCAAUUGUGUUGAGUACUGUCCAACAAGCUGUUUAUCAAUGACUGAAGAAUAUGAACUUUCUACCUAUGAUCGUCAUGAAUUGAAUUACAAUCAAAUUGCUUUAAGUCGGUUACCAUCCAUAAUGGGAGAUUACACAAUUCAAACAAUUAGGAAUUCGUCUGAAAGUAAAAUAAACAAAGAAAAAUCUUCGAAUUCAAGAACGAUUACUGAUUACUAA